CUUGCGACUUUAUUGAGAUAGCGUUAUGACGUAUAUUAACAAAUCCGUUUCCAUGAAACCAAUUGCGGUUGUUUAUUGGCCGACAAGUAGUAUUUUCAAGUAUGUUUCAACGAAUCAACACAUUACGGUACUUCCCGCGCCCCGCUAAUCGUAAAAAUACAUUGUCCAUGUUUCUACAUACGGUCGGAUGAAGUGUCUACACUUAUGGCUGACUCGUAAAUCGCGAAAUCACGGACUAAUCGUGUCGUAAAUAUUCAGAAGGAGAAUGGGCAAAGUAAUCCGGAAAACAUGUACGAGCAGGAAAACGCAAAGGAUCCGGAAAAUCUGGUGUUCCCAAUCUAUGCGGAUUCAAGCAGUCUCUAAUUGCUUGACCGAACGCACGUCUAACUCCAGGAUCUACAGCUACAGCAAUUGCAGCACCUUCAACUUCUUCAACGCCUGCUCGAGUUACACCUUCUCUCACUAAACGUUCCAUAGACGCCGCUA
RNAcentral lists this unclassified non-coding RNA (486 nucleotides) under Bombus terrestris (buff-tailed bumblebee). RNAcentral describes it as "misc RNA ENSBTSG00005039236.1". Lineage: Eukaryota; Metazoa; Arthropoda; Insecta; Hymenoptera; Apidae. The record is from RNAcentral.